Molecule: ribosomal RNA, 468 nt
Filed under: uncultured bacterium
Lineage: Bacteria
Description: partial 16S ribosomal RNA
Rfam family: Bacterial small subunit ribosomal RNA
Source: RNAcentral
GACGAACGCUGGCGGCGUGCUUAACACAUGCAAGUCGAACGGAAAGGCCCUGCUUUUGUGGGGUGCUCGAGUGGCGAACGGGUGAGUAACACGUGAGUAACCUGCCCUUGACUGUGGGAUAAUUUAAGGAAACUGGGGCUAAUACCGGAUAGGAGCUCCUGUUGCAUGGUGGGGGUUGGAAAGUUUCGGCGGUUGGGGAUGGACUCGCGGCGGAUCAGCUUGUUGGUGGGGUAGUGGCUUACCAAGGCUUUGACGGGUAGCCGGCCUGAGAGGGUGACCGGCCACAUUGGGACUGAGAUACGACCCAGACUCCUACGGGAGGCAGCGGUGGGGAAUAUUGCACAAUGGGCGGAAGCCUGAUGCAGCAACGCCGCGUGCGGGAUGACGGCCUUCGGGUUGUAAACCGCUUUCGCCUGUGACGAAGCGUGAGUGACGGUAAUGUGUAAAUAAGCACCGGCUAACUACGUG